UGCGAAGGGGGCUAGCGUUGCUCGGAAUUACUGGGCGUAAAGGGCGCGUAGGCGGCACUGUUAGUCAGGCGUGAAAUUCCUGGGCUCAACCUGGGGACUGCGCUUGAUACGGCAGAGCUUGAGGAUGGAAGAGGGUCGCGGAAUUCCCAGUGUAGAGGUGAAAUUCGUAGAUAUUGGGAAGAACACCGGUGGCGAAGGCGGCGACCUGGUCCAUUACUGACGCUGAGGCGCGACAGCGUGGGGAGCAAACAGG
This 253-nucleotide ribosomal RNA is filed under the name uncultured bacterium. Its description in RNAcentral is "partial 16S ribosomal RNA". It matches the Rfam family "Bacterial small subunit ribosomal RNA", at positions 524 to 776 of the family's 1533-position model. The record is from RNAcentral.